GGAAGCCAGCUCGUGGGAUCCGCUACACAUCCACCCGAGGGCUGCGGUUACUUGAGCACCAUGGAGUAAGCAAAGCUCAUGACAUGAUUAGCUGUACUGGGGACGCACAGCUGUUCUUUUCACAAGUCACUUCAGAGCAAGCUGCAGACAAUGAUGAUCUUUGGUGAAAUGUCAGUUCAAGUCAUUUGACCUGUCUUCCCCAUGCUCACCACGUCUGGAGAAGCACAGAUCUGGAGGAAUUGAAGCCUGAAGUUUCACCAGCAGCAUUCUGGGACUAGGAAGUGACUAUAUGGAGGAGCCUGGUAGGCUACAGUCCAUGGGGUCGCAAAGAGUUGGACACGACUGAGUGACUUCACCUAGGAAUGGAAGGCAUGAAGUGGAUCCAAACAGACAGAGCUGCCACUUAACAGACGGUCACCAUCCUACACUGAACUGUGCGACCUCCUUUUCCAUGACAGAGAAAGGGCAAGAACCAUUCACAUAAUGAUUGUUUCCACCAACAUCUGGUGAGCAUCUAUGAUGUAUAGGACACUACACUUAACACCAGAGCUACAAAGAGAAGAAGCACAGUCCAGGCGUCUGAAGAUCAAGAAGAAAAGAAGAAGAGUAA
Molecule: long non-coding RNA, 610 nt
Organism: Cervus elaphus (red deer)
Lineage: Eukaryota; Metazoa; Chordata; Mammalia; Artiodactyla; Cervidae
Exons: 5
Source: RefSeq, a predicted model, not a curated record